GGUCCAGCCUGCCCAGUGACUAAGUUCAACGGCCGCGGUAUCCUAACCGUGCGAAGGUAGCGUAAUCACUUGUUCUUUAAAUGAGGACUAGUAUGAACGGCACCACGAAGGUUAUACUGUCUCCUUUCCCUAAUCAGUGAAACUAAUCUCCCCGUGAAGAAGCGAGGAUAAAAAUAUAAGACGAGAAGACCCUAUGGAGCUUUAAACAAUGCGACAACUGCUACUAAUCUAUCUAAGGCCCCAGAGUCUCUAAGUUAUUUUAGCACUUUGACGCAAGUUUUAGGUUGGGGUGACCGCGGAGCAGAAUACAACCUCCACGCUGAAAGAAUCCUAUUCUUAGCCGAGAGCUACUACCCUAGGCACCAGCACACUGUCAUCUAUUGACCCAAUACA
This 393-nucleotide ribosomal RNA is filed under the name Dendrophryniscus brevipollicatus. RNAcentral describes it as "partial 16S ribosomal RNA". It matches the Rfam family "Bacterial large subunit ribosomal RNA", at positions 1851 to 2427 of the family's 2925-position model. Lineage: Eukaryota; Metazoa; Chordata; Amphibia; Anura; Bufonidae. The record is from RNAcentral.